This 1341-nucleotide long non-coding RNA is filed under the name Nicotiana tabacum (common tobacco). Its description in RNAcentral is "long non-coding RNA (NTAB_LNC014733)". Lineage: Eukaryota; Viridiplantae; Streptophyta; Magnoliopsida; Solanales; Solanaceae. The record is from RNAcentral.
GUACCAGCCGUACUUAAUAAUAGAAGGAUUUGGAAGAAAUAUGUAAAAUUGUCCCUCCUAAAAAGAUUAUUCCAGAAUAAAUGGGCAAUAGUUAGGAGAGGUGCGCCAGCGGCGAGCAGAAGCAAGGUUAUUAGAUACCUCAAGUAAGCUCGUCCAGAACCACACGUGGAAGUUUCCCUGCAUGUGGCUUGUCCGUGAUAACUUCUUCGGAUUUGCGUGAACUAGCGGACCGAUCACUAAGUGGGGAUGCUCCCUCCAGCAUGAAUGAACCCUUUCAGAACUGGUUAAGGAUGGGUGGCACUAUCCCAGCCUGGAUCCAGCCAGGUUCUAUUGAUCAUGUCCCAUUCCCAAUAGUUGUACCUUGUCUUGGGGCGUCUUUGGCUUUACGAUAGAAAGCUCGCUUGAGAAAGCCAGGUGCCGUAGGUAAGCUCUAUUUGGCCGGGAGCAUUGAUUUCCCAUAACGAAUAGGCUAGCUCUAUCUCUCAAUUACCUAUCCUAUGCUCGAGAAGGCAGCAUCUCGAGGUACAUUUAGUUGUCUUACAUGAGACGAUGGCUAUUCCCCACUCCAUGGCAUGACAUCUUUCGCUCAUCACUUCUGCCUGUCCAAAUGCAGCACCCUUUCUCAUUAUCAUCUACUGCUCUUUCUUUCCUCCCGGCUAUUUACACAUGAAGAUCGUCGUAUGUAUACUCGACUUCGGUUGCCGAUGCUAUAAUAGGUAGAAGUAUAUUAUGGAAGGAUCAGUCACUCGGGCAAACAACACUCCUCCAAGAAGAAUUGUGCUAUGCCCCCCAAUCCCUAUAGAGCGAAAGAGUUACCUGGUGAUCCCUAGGUUGCAGCACGUCCGGUCGUUAACUCCUCGUGCCGCUGCCGCCGUUUCUAGGACCUAUUGAUGCCUCACCUGCAUAGGUACCUGUGUAGUGUAGUCUCGGUCGCACAUUAAACAUAGCGUUCGGACUUAUGUGCCUUCCAAAACCAGGGGUAUUCGAGCCUGCUGCGUACGAUUAGCUAGCCUUGCAGCGGCAAAAGUAUUAGACAUCCCCCAUGCUAUGGUUCCCUGCAGUCCAAACCCGGGCCGCUUUAGGUUAGGGAGCUGGACGAUAAUAGCUCAUCCGCAUCCCAAAGUGCGCUGCCCUCCUAGGCACACAACACUAAGUAAUCCAAGCCAACCCACAUUACUGACUAACGGUGGAUAAUCAUAUUUCUUAAAGGUACUAAAUACAACUCCAUGAAUGAGCAAAAUGAAUGUUGCAUUAAUGAUAAAGAUUUCUAGGGAAACUGCUAAAAAAAGAUUGAACAUGUGGGAGGAUCCGAACGAAUUCUGCUUUCAUUUCCCCCGUAUG